GGACUCAGCUUCUUGUUUUCGGCCGAGAAUUAACUGGGUUUGCUAUUUGGAUGUAUAGCCUAGUCAGACGUGAUUGGUCCAGGUGCUCGUUGAUGAACUUGCCACGAUGUUUGUUUGGAUCCAGCAGUUCUGGAGAGAUUGCCAUAGUUGCUGGUGGAAGUGAUAAGAAUGGAUGUGUACUAAAAUGCGCUGAACUUUACAACUCGGACCUGGGCACGUGGGAGUCUUUGCCAGACAUGAAUAUGCCACGUAAAAUGUGUUCUGGCUUUUUUAUGGAUGGGCAUUUUUAUGUCAUUGGGGGAAUGUGCAGCCAUACUGAAUCUUUAACUUGUGGAGAGGAGUUCAACCUCGAGACAAGGACAUGGAAGAGAAUUAGAGACAUGUACCCUGGUGGUAACAGGGCCACUCAGUCUCCCCCGUUAGUUGCAGUUGUAAAUAAUCAGCUUUAUGCUGCGGAUCAGUCAACAAAUGUAGUUAAGAAGUACGACAAGGCAAAUAAUACUUGGAAUAUUAU
This 514-nucleotide unclassified non-coding RNA is filed under the name Hevea brasiliensis (rubber tree). Lineage: Eukaryota; Viridiplantae; Streptophyta; Magnoliopsida; Malpighiales; Euphorbiaceae. The record is from RNAcentral.